Arvicola amphibius (Eurasian water vole) is the source of this 1717-nucleotide long non-coding RNA. RefSeq lists it as uncharacterized. NCBI's taxonomy places the organism in Eukaryota, Metazoa, Chordata, Mammalia, Rodentia, Cricetidae. The record is from RefSeq and is a predicted model, not a curated record. The transcript has 4 exons.
CGCCAUAGUGAGUCUCCAUGCUUCUCCUCUCCGAGAUGGACACAGGUUAAGAUCUCUCCUGGUGAUCUGUGCUUGAUGACCACACCAAUUGAUACUGGUGUAAGAAUGAAGAGGAGUGUAGACACAAUCUUUAAAACGGGAACAUGGAAGACACCUGCUAACCCUAAUAGCCUACUGUACAAGUAAGAAUUGACAGGCAUCAUUAUCAGGGCCAGGGAUGUCGAUGUGCAAGUCAUCAAGAUGGCCAAAGUGACAUCUCCUUCCAGAAGGAACGCAAAAAGAUAGCCCCCACCUCCUCCUGGGCAUGUGCAGGUCAUUACAAAUCCAAAAGCCUGUGCUUCGUGCAGUCCCAAAAUCUGAGACAAAAGGAAACCACAGAAGGGCAUCAGAAAAAACUGUGUCGCUGCCCCGAGGACCACUGGCAGAGGUCGUUUCCAGACGGUUUGGAGUGCCUGGAACUCAAUCUUGCAGCCAAAGGCACAUUUAUUUAAAAGGAUCAUGGAUAAAACAAGCAGCAAGAUAUACUGAUUGACAUGCACUGGUGCCUGGAAGAGGCUGUCUUCCGUCUGCCCGAGCACUCUGACUUUAACAUCUGUUAUCUCUUCAAUGAGUCUUUUGUGCCUACCUUCAGAAUCCCAGAGCUGAACGGUCAUGUUCGUCUCUCCUGGGAAAGUAAUUAGGCUGAUGGUAAAGUCUGUGGCGUCCCGCGAGGUCUUGGUCACAUUCACCAGCUGCAGCACCUUUGGAUCUCCUACUUUCACAAAAAGGAAAACAAUAAAAUUAAAGCAGCCAGGGGCGGAGGUAUCUACAAUAGAUACUAAUGCAUGGAGAUCAUUAUCAGCAUUCCAUCAAGUCAGAAGCAAACUGCAUAUCUACCUACAUGCUGCUGUGACCCGAGAGUUUUCCCAACCCUUCUUCAUACUGAAAAGUUUGGGACUAACACCUGAACACUGCAGUUGGAAGAAUACUAUCGCCCAGCUCUCUCAUGUAUUCCCGUCCUUUAGGCUGAUGCCCAUUGGUACCAGGGAUUUAACUCAACUGUUCAUCUGCACUCCUCUCCUAUGUUUUGUGUGUCUCCCAGGACAAUUUUAAUUGUCUGUCAGCAACGGAAACACCAGGGAGGAUGGGGACAGUGUAACCCAACCGUCUCAUUAGGCAAACUUACUCGAAGCCUUGGGCUUUCUGCUUUCAGAGUGAUUUGGACACAGGGAGUUAGGGGGACUGAGACUCUCAUCCACACCUUGUCCUCUUUAGACUACGCAUGCUUUAGCUGCCAGUUUUUAGUGCCCAGGAUGUUUAUCCCUGGCGUCCUCCAGAGCUGCGGGCUCCACCCCCUAGGACCUGGCCUUGCUUAAAGUGUACUCACUUUGUCGGGCCCUCUGGAUGGAUGGCCUUGAUCCUUUUGUCUGAUUAAGGAGAGAAGACAUUCUUUCAUCCUUCCUAGGUUUCAAUCCCUGCCAAUCUCAUUUGCCCUCUUCUUAAAAGAUAUUAUUUUUUGGCAUUUAGUUUUCAUUCAAUUAUAUGUGCUGACCACCUAUUGUGUGCAAGUAAUUGCAAUUAAUAUAAGUACUGGUUGGAAAACUUUUUGGCAUCUCAAAAUAAUAAUAAUAACAAACAAAAACAAAAUGAACCAAAACCAACUUCUGGCAUAUGGAUUUUUAAACAUUAUUUCUCUCACUAGCGUGAUAGUUUCCGAUUAAACAGCUAUUGGGACGUG